This 359-nucleotide ribosomal RNA is filed under the name Rhamphophasma spinicorne. Its description in RNAcentral is "partial 16S ribosomal RNA". The record is from RNAcentral. Lineage: Eukaryota; Metazoa; Arthropoda; Insecta; Phasmatodea; Phasmatidae.
AGCAUAAUCAUUAGUCUAUUAAUUGUGGACUUGUAUGAAUGGUUGGACGAAAUAUUAACUGUCUCAUUUUUAUUAUUUGAAUUUAAAAUUUGGGUUAAAAUGCUUAAAUUUUUUUAUUGGACGAGAAGACCCUAUAGAUCUUUAUUAUUUUUUUUUUAUAAUUUUUUGGAUUAUAGUUUUUAUAAUUAAAUAUUAAUUUUGUUGGGGUGACAUAAGGAUCUUUAAUUAACUCCUUAUAUUUAUAUACAUUGAUUUAUGAAUAAUUGACCUUUUAUUAUUGUAAUAAGAUAUAGAUACCUUAGGGAUAACAGCGUAAUUCUUUUUGAGAGUUCAUAUCGACAAAGGAGAUUGCGACCUCG